AAAAUUUUAGUUUAUAAAAAUAAUUUAUUUACAAUAAAUAGUAUAAUUAAUAUAAAAUUAAUUAAAAUUUUUU
This 73-nucleotide transfer RNA is filed under the name Vespa mandarinia (Asian giant hornet). RNAcentral's name for it is "tRNA-Val". The record is from RNAcentral. Lineage: Eukaryota; Metazoa; Arthropoda; Insecta; Hymenoptera; Vespidae.